UAGUUUUGUCCUAAGGCAUACUUCUCUAACUUUGAACGGGUUUUUUAGAAAAAAUAUAUAACAUCGUCAAAACACAUUUCAUGGAAAAUAUAAAGAAACUAGUUUGACGUUGUAGAUGUUGGUGUAUUUUUCUACUAACUUGGUCAACAAUUAGAGAAGUUUGACUUAGGACAAAGCUAA
This 180-nucleotide microRNA precursor is filed under the name Zea mays. RNAcentral describes it as "MIR1435 microRNA precursor family". It matches the Rfam family "MIR1435 microRNA precursor family". The record is from Rfam by way of RNAcentral. Lineage: Eukaryota; Viridiplantae; Streptophyta; Magnoliopsida; Poales; Poaceae.